RNAcentral lists this ribosomal RNA (504 nucleotides) under uncultured bacterium. RNAcentral's name for it is "partial 16S ribosomal RNA". It matches the Rfam family "Bacterial small subunit ribosomal RNA", at positions 28 to 507 of the family's 1533-position model. The record is from RNAcentral.
GACGAACGCUGGCGGCGUGCCUAAUACAUGCAAGUAGAACGCACAGUUAUACCGUAGCUUGCUACACCCUAGACUGUGAGUUGCGAACGGGUGAGUAACGCGUAGGUAACCUGCCUGGUAGCGGGGGAUAACUAUUGGAAACGAUAGCUAAUACCGCAUAAUAUUGAUUAUUGCAUGAUAAUUGAUUGAAAGAUGCUAUUGCACCACUACCAGAUGGACCUGCGUUGUAUUAGCUAGUAGGUGAGGUAACGGCUCACCUAGGCGACGAUACAUAGCCGACCUGAGAGGGUGAUCGGCCACACUGGGACUGAGACACGGCCCAGACUCCUACGGGAGGCAGCAGUAGGGAAUCUUCGGCAAUAGACGAAAGUCUGACCGAGCAACGCCGCGUGAGUGAAGAAGGUUGUCGGAUCGUAAAGCUCUGUUGUAAGAGAAGAACGGGUGUGAGAGUGGAAAGUUCACACUGUGACGGUAUCUUACCAGAAAGGGACGGCUAACUACGUG